AACUAUGCCACUUUGUUUACAUACUCAUCUCAUAUGUAUAUACUGCACUCAAUACCAUCUACUGUAUCUUGCCUAUGCCGCUCUGUACCAUCACUCAUUCAUAUAUCUUUAUGUACUCAUUCUUUAUCCCCUUACACUUGUGUCUAUAAGGUAGUAGUUUUGGAAUUGUUAGCUAGAUUACUUGUUGGUUAUUACUGCAUUGUCGGAACUAGAAGCACAAGCAUUUUGCUACACUCGCAUUAACAUCUGCUAACCAUGUGUAUGUGACAAAUAACAUUUGAUUGGAUUUGAUUUGAUUUGAUAACAUUAUCAGUACACUCUUAGAAAAAAGGGUUCCAAAAGGGUACUUUGGCUGUCCCCAUAGGAUAACCCUUUUUGGCUCCAGGGAGAACCCUUUUUUAGUUCCACGCAGAACCCUUUUGGGUUCCAUGUAGAAACCUCUGGGGAAAGGGUCCUACAUGGAACCCAGAAGGGUUCGACCUGGUACCAAAAAUGGUUCUUCAAAGGGUUUUCCAAUGGGGACAGCCGAAAACUCCUUUUAGGUUCUAGAUAGCACCUUUUAUUUUGAGAGUGUAGUAGUCAUUACCUUCUGUGUGUUUAUCAAAAGUUCCAUCUGUGAACAGUAAUAAAGCCUGUAAAGUGGCAGUAUUGUGUCCUUAAGGCCUCUUUGAACGCUUAAUGAUUAUCCUCGUUAAGUGAUGUGGUGUUUUCUCACUGUCUGACUAGUGUACUUUGAGCCUUUUACCUACCGUGAGGUGACGAAGCAGUGUUGGCUGGCUUACACAAGAGGCCACAGUCUUUUCUCACACAUCUUCCUCUGGACUCUUCUCUAUCGACUGCUGCCAGUAAAUGUGUCAACACCUUUACUCACUGUCUGCUUGGUCACGACCAUAGUGCCUACUGAGUCACUCUCUUCCCUGCAGUGCAAAUUUUGGAGUGCAUCCGUUUAAAGCAUCCCUUCAUGAGAUAAACAGGCCUAAUCUGACUCUGGGCCAGUUGUUAGUGGUAUAACGAGAGAUCCUUAAGACUGUCCUUAAAAAACUCCUUGUUUGGCCACCAAGAAAUGGAACAUUCUGCUCUGAUGUAGUUUUAGAAAGAAAGCCAUGUUUGUAAAUGGUAAUAAAAUAGAAUAUAAUUGUUUAUCACUUUUUAAUGAGACAGUGAUAACUAGCUUGGCUUAGAGAUGAACACAAGUAUGAAUAUUUUUUUAAAUAGUUACUUAACGGCACACAUAUUGCAUUCACUGGGUUCACUGUCUACAGUGGCUUGCGAAAGUGUUCACCCCCUUGGCAAUUUUUCCUAUUUUGUUGCCUUACAACCUGGAAUUAAAAUAGAUUUUGGGGGGGAUUUGUAUCAUUUGAUUUACACAACAUGCCUACCUUUUUGAAGAUGCAAAAUAUUUUUUGAUUGUGAAACAAACAAGAAAUAAUAAGAAAACUGUCUUGGUCUGUGAGUUUUGGUGGGCGGCCCUCUCUUGGCACGUUUGUUGUGGUGCCAUAUUCUUUCCAUUUUUUAAUAAUGGAUUUGAUGGUGCUCCGUGGGAUGUUCAACGUUUCUGAUAUUUAUUUAUAAUUCAAUCCUGAUCUGUACUUCUCCACAACUUUGUCCCUGACCUGUUUGGAGAGCUCCUUGGUCUUCAUGGUGCCCCUUGCUUAGUGGGGCCUUUCAGAACAUGUGUGUAUAUAUACUGAGGUCAUGUGACACUUAGAUUGCACACAGGUGGAUCUUAACUAAUUAUGUGACUUCUGAAGGUAAUUUGUUCCACCAGAUCUUAUUUAGGGUCUUCAUAGCAAAGGUGAAUACAUAUUAUUUAGGGUCUUCAUAGCAAAGGUGAAUACAUAUUAUUUAGGGUCUUCAUAGCAAAGGUGAAUACAUAUUAUUUAGGGUCUUCAUAGCAAAGGUGAAUACAUAUUAUUUAGGGUCUUCAUAGCAAAGGUGAAUACAUAUUAUUUAGGGUCUUCAUAGCAAAGGUGAAUACAUAUUAUUUAGGGUCUUCAUAGCAAAGGUGAAUACAUAUUAUUUAGGGUCUUCAUAGCAAAGGUGAAUACAUAUUAUUUAGGGUCUUCAUAGCAAAGGUGAAUACAUAUUAUUUAGGGUCUUCAUAGCAAAGGUGAAUACAUAUUAUUUAGGGUCUUCAUAGCAAAGGUGAAUACAUAUUAUUUAGGGUCUUCAUAGCAAAGGUGAAUACAUAUUAUUUAGGGUCUUCAUAGCAAAGGUGAAUACAUAUGCAUGCACCACUUUUCAGUUUUGAAUUUCUUUUAACAAGUUAUUUUUUUCAUUUCAUUUUCACUACUUUGUGUAUGUCCAUUACAUGAAAUCCAAAUAAAAAUCAAUUUAAAUGACAGGUUGUAAUGCAACAAAAUAGGAAAAAUACCAAGGGGGAUGAAUACUUUUGCAAGGCACUGUAUAAUACUCUCAUCAGCUCUAAUAGCAAACUGUCUGAAUGUGAUGAUAAUCUGCACGACUGGGCCUCAGUUAGUCCUAAUGGAACUUGAUUGGUUCCUCCUCAUCCAAACAGCAGCUGAUAUGUCUUCCCUUUGACUUAAUGGGAGUCUGGCUCUUCCUUGACUCAUGAAUGUAGAAUCCAUCUGGACCUAUGUGCUCUUGUGGCGAUGCGUGAGAACACAUCAGUUUAAAAAAAACAAGGCCCCUGAAAACAUAGCUGUAGUGGUGCAUCAAUGGAAAAACACGCAUCUUUCCCCAAACCUCACCAUUUCCAUAUACACACACACUGAUUGUCUAUCAAGAAGAUGAAUCUCCCCGCUGAGCACAUGCGCGCACACACACACACACACACACACACACACACACACACACACACACACACACACACACACACACACACACACACACACACACACACACACACACACACACACACACACAGUUGGAUGCGUGUGGUAUCCUAAAGUGGAUGUGUAACCAGGCCAGCGCAGCACAGUACAGCUCAGCUCAGUUCAGCUUUACAGCUCAGGAGAGUGAAAAUCAUAUUAAAGAUCUGGAAGGACUGAAUAGGUGUAAGCAACAUGGGGAAAUUCCAUCCAGCCCACCUGAGGGCUAGGUCAAGCUAUAAUCAGAGGGGCAAGCUAUUAUUGCUGACUCCUAUCCAAGUCUUCCUGAUCUAUAAAAAGUACCAUGGGGCAGAGGUAGGAAUUAGGGGUCGGUUUGGAUUUGGUCAUCAGAGUCCUUGAGCGUUCCAGUAAGAACACUGUAUACACUGUGUUAUUAAAGCUGAGAAGGCAGAGGUGGCACUGUGGUGCAGGUCUCUCCAUUAAACAGAGAAAGGUUAGUUUGUUGUAUUGGAUGGAGGGUGGGAAGCGUUCUCCAGAGAAGGACUAGCUGUGCCACGUCAGUAUAAGACAGACUCUUUGUAAAUAGGACUAUAACAGCUACAAUGUGAUACACUGCAGGUGACGUGUGUGUGUGUGUGUGUGCGUGUGUGUGUGUGUGUGUGUGUGUGUGUGUGUGUGUGUGUGUGUGUGUGUGUGUGUGUGUGUGUGUGUGUGUGUGUGUGUGUGUGUGUGUGUGUGUGUGUGUGUGUGUUUAUGUGACUUCACUUCUCAUAUGAUUGGAUGCAGAAUUGUAGUUGUUUUGAGGAAACCUCCGUAUUCCACUAGAUGUUAACAUUCCUCUGGCCGAUAUACCACACAAUUCCAUUCAUCUAAAAUGUCAGUACAGCUGCAAGCUUGUCCUGAUAAUUAUAGUGGGCACACUCACUGGCCUCAGCCCCCUUUGCAAUGAAAGCACUGAUGAAUGCCACCAUGUUUGUGAAGGCCUUUACAACACAUACAAUACGGCGUCUAAUUCCUCCAGUCGAAACCGAGGGGCGUCAGAAGGACUGAACUUCACAAUUUGACCCUCUGAGGAAAUUGAUCUAGUGGAUUAGAAUUGUGAAAGACCCUGCUUACACACAAAACAGCCUUUUGGAGAACCACGACUCAAGUAGAGCGUUGAGAGAACUUCCAGCUCGAGAGGAGAGCAGACAGAGAGAGGG
Molecule: long non-coding RNA, 3994 nt
Organism: Oncorhynchus keta (chum salmon)
Lineage: Eukaryota; Metazoa; Chordata; Actinopteri; Salmoniformes; Salmonidae
Exons: 3
Source: RefSeq, a predicted model, not a curated record